Molecule: ribosomal RNA, 257 nt
Filed under: uncultured bacterium
Lineage: Bacteria
Description: partial 16S ribosomal RNA
Rfam family: Bacterial small subunit ribosomal RNA
Source: RNAcentral
UACAGAGGGUGCAAGCGUUAAUCGGAAUUACUGGGCGUAAAGCGUGCGCAGGCGGUUUUGUAAGACAGGUGUGAAAUCCCCCGGGCUUAACCUGGGAACUGCGCUUGUGACUGCAAGACUCGAGUACGGCAGAGGGGGGGUAGAAUUCCACGUGUAGCAGUGAAAUGCGUAGAGAUGUGGAGGAAUACCGAUGGCGAAGGCAGCCCCCCUGGGUCGAUACUGACGCUCAUGCACGAAAGCGUGGGGGAGCAAACAGG